RNAcentral lists this ribosomal RNA (246 nucleotides) under uncultured bacterium. RNAcentral describes it as "partial 16S ribosomal RNA". It matches the Rfam family "Bacterial small subunit ribosomal RNA", at positions 796 to 1041 of the family's 1533-position model. The record is from RNAcentral.
CUAGCCGUAAACGAUGGGUACUAGGUGUUGGAGGAUUCUACCCCUUCAGUGCCGCAGCUAAUGCAUUAAGUACCCCACCUGGGGAGUACGAUCGCAAGGUUGAAACUCAAAGGAAUUGACGGGGGCCCGCACAAGCGGUGGAGCAUGUGGUUUAAUUCGAUGCAACGCGAAGAACCUUACCUAGGCUUGACAUGCAGGGGACAGGUGUAGAAAUACAUCCUUCCUUCGGGACCCUUGCACAGGUGC